RNAcentral lists this ribosomal RNA (253 nucleotides) under uncultured bacterium. Its description in RNAcentral is "partial 16S ribosomal RNA". It matches the Rfam family "Bacterial small subunit ribosomal RNA", at positions 524 to 776 of the family's 1533-position model. The record is from RNAcentral.
UACAGAGGGUGCAAGCGUUAAUCGGAAUUACUGGGCGUAAAGCGCGCGUAGGUGGUUUGUUAAGUUGGAUGUGAAAUCCCCGGGCUCAACCUGGGAACUGCAUUCAAAACUGACAAGCUAGAGUAUGGUAGAGGGUGGUGGAAUUUCCUGCGUAGCGGUGAAAUGCGUAGAUAUAGGAAGGAACACCAGUGGCGAAGGCGACCACCUGGACUGAUACUGACACUGAGGUGCGAAAGCGUGGGGAGCAAACAGG